Molecule: ribosomal RNA, 705 nt
Filed under: uncultured Glomus
Lineage: Eukaryota; Fungi; Glomeromycota; Glomeromycetes; Glomerales; Glomeraceae
Description: SSU rRNA
Rfam family: Eukaryotic small subunit ribosomal RNA
Source: RNAcentral
GUUAGGGCACGACACCGGAGAGGGAGCCUGAGAACGGCUACCACAUCCAAGSAUGGCAGCAGGCGCGCAAAUUACCCAAUCCCGACACGGGGAGGUAGUGACAAUAAAUAACAAUACGGGGUUCUUUCGGAUCUCGUAAUUGGAAUGAGUACAAUUUAAAUCUCUUAACGAGGAACAAUUGGAGGGCAAGUCUGGUGCCAGCAGCCGCGGUAAUUCCNNNNUCCAAUAGCGUAUAUUAAAGUUGUUGCAGUUAAAAAGCUCGUAGUUGAAUUUCGGGAUCGAAUUGUUGGUCGUGCCUCGGUACGCACUGGCAUUAUCGGUUCCUACCUUCUGAAGAACCGCGAUGUCAUUAAUUUGGUGUCGUGGGGAAUCAGGACUGUUACUUUGAAAAAAUUAGAGUGUUUAAAGCAGGCUUACGCUUGAAUACAUUAGCAUGGAAUAAUGAAAUAGGACGUUUGAUUCUAUUUUGUUGGUUUCUAGGAUCGACGUAAUGAUUAAUAGGGAUAGUUGGGGGCAUUAGUAUUCAAUUGUCAGANGUGAAAUUCUUGGAUUUAUUGAAGACUAACUACUGCGAAAGCAUUUGCCAAGGAUGUUUUCAUUAAUCAAGAACGAAAGUUAGGGGAUCGAAGACGAUCAGAUACCGUCGUANUCUUAACCAUAAACUAUGCCGACUAGGGAUCGGAUGAUGUUAAUUUUAUAUGACUC